GAUGAACGCUGGCGGCGUGCCUAAUACAUGCAAGUCGGAGCGGUAUCAGUCCGUUCGGGGGUGAAGAGAGUGGCGAACUGGUGAGUAACACGUAGGUUACUCUACCCUCAAGACGGGGGACAACCCAGGGAAACUUGGGCUAAUCCGGAUGUGAGUCAACUUUUAGUUGUUUGAAAGGUGGCGUAAGCUGUCGCUUGGGGGAUGAGCCUGCGUCCUAGUUAGUUAGUUGGUGAGGUAACGGCUCACCUAGGCAAUGAUAGGUAGGCGGCCUUAACGGGUGGUCGCCCACACUGGGAUUGAGAUACGGCCCAGACUCCUACGGGAGGCAGCAGUCGAGAAUAGUCUACAAUGGUCGGAAGACUGAUAGUGCGACGCCGCGUGAACGAUGAAUCCCUUCGGGGUGUAAAGUUCUUUUAUAUGUGAGCAGUGCUUCUUAUAUUAACAGUAUGGGGAGAGAGAUAUUAGCAUAUGAAUAAGCAACGGCUAACUCCGUG
Molecule: ribosomal RNA, 494 nt
Filed under: uncultured bacterium
Lineage: Bacteria
Description: bacterial SSU rRNA
Rfam family: Bacterial small subunit ribosomal RNA
Source: RNAcentral